UUUUAUAUGGACGAUAAAGGUUCUUGCUCACUGAUAGAGUAAGGAGUAAAAGGGAAAUCGGUGCAAUUCCGAUGCGGUCCCGCCACUGUAAAUGCUAGUUGAGAGCAGUAUGCCACUGAAAAACUUUCGGGAAGGCGCUUAUCAACGUUAUGCAUAAGCCAGGAGACCUGCCUUUAUAAUGCCCUAAAA
Molecule: non-coding RNA, 189 nt
Filed under: Solibacillus silvestris
Lineage: Bacteria; Bacillati; Bacillota; Bacilli; Caryophanales; Caryophanaceae
Also listed under: 1 other name
Source: RNAcentral